This is a long non-coding RNA of Cyprinus carpio carpio, 4683 nucleotides long. NCBI's taxonomy places the organism in Eukaryota, Metazoa, Chordata, Actinopteri, Cypriniformes, Cyprinidae. The record is from Ensembl.
AAAUAAAGUGAAUCAUUUUUUACAGUGUAUGUAGAAACAUAUGCUUUCCUGGAUGCAGGAAGUACAGCUACAUUUUGUACUGAUGAACUGCAAAGGAAACUAAACCUGAAAGGGAAGCCAACUCAAAUUCUACUGAGCAUUAUGUAUCAAAAUAAAACAGGAGAGCAGAAGUUAGUAAACAGUUUCAUCCUCACAGACUUGGAAGUGUGUGCACUGGAAGACACAAAGUAUUAUGACCUACCUAAAGUCUUUACACACAGCAGUAUCCCUGUUCAAAAUGAGAACAUUCCCAAGCAAGAACACAUUAAAAAAUGGCCGUACUUAAGUGAAGUAAGCAUACCUAGUAUUGAUGCAAAUGUAGACCUUCUGAUUGGAGUCAACAAUUCAAAAGCAAUGGAGCCAUGGUACAUCAUAAACAGCCAACAGGGUGGACCCUAUGCUGUGAAAACUGCACUGGGUUGGGUGGUGAAUGGACCCAUCAAGAAAGAAAGCAACACUGCAGAAAAGUCCAAACUGCCACAUCAUACAGUUAAUCGUCUCUCGGUGGUGGAGAUAGAGCAAUUGUUGAUUCAACAGUACAACACAGAUUUCCCAGAGCGCCACUAUGAAGAGAAAGAGGAAAUGUCAAUGGAGAACAAACAGUUCAUGCAGUCAGUGCAGGAAAAGACUAAGUUUGAGAAUGGGCAUUACUGUGUAAGACUACCUCUGAGAAAUGAAGCAAUCAAAAUGCCAAAUAAUCGAUUUGUGGCCGAACUGCGUGCUGCUAACCUGAAAAGAAAGCUUCAGAAGAACUCAAGUUUGCUUGAAGAUUACUGUAGCUUCAUGAAAAGUAUAACAGAGAAAGGAUAUGCAGUUAAAGUUCCCCCCGAACAGCUUGUUGGCAAUGACAACAGAGUUUGGUACAUACCACAUCACGGGGUGUACCACCCAAAGAAAAAGAAAAUAAGAGUGGUUUUUGAUUGUACUGCUUCGUUUCAAGGCAUGUCUCUGAACAGCCAAUUGCUACAAGGUCCAAACCUCACAAACACACUCAUUGGUGUCCUUACCAGAUUUAGGGAAGAACCAAUAGCCAUGAUGGCAGAUGUAGAGUCGAUGUUUUAUCAAGUGAGGGUUCCUGAGGAGGAUGCAGAUCUGCUUCAUUUUCUUUGGUGGCCAGAAGGCAAUUUGAAUGCACCUAUAGAAGAAUUUAGGAUGAUGGUGCACUUAUUCAGAGCUGCUUCGUCACCUAGCUGCGCCUCUUAUGCACUGAAAAGGACUGCUGAGGACAGAAAAGAAGUAGCAUCUCCGAAGGCUGUUGAAACAGUUAUACACAAUUUUUACGUUGAUGACUGCUUGAAAUCUGUGUCUACAGAACAAGAAGCCAUUGACUUAGCAAGUGAUGUUCGUAAGUUAUGUGCUGAAGGAGGUUUCUGCUUAACCAAGUGGGUAAGCAAUAGUAGGAAAGUACUGUUGUCUAUUCCAGAAGAACAAAGGGCCAGUGGAAUAAAGGACCUUGACUUGGAUCAGGAUUUUCUGCCAAUCGAGAGAGCACUUGGCAUGCAGUGGUGUACAGAAAAUGACACUUUCACAUAUAAGAUCAAGGUACAAGAGAAGCCAUUCAGUAGGAGAGGUAUUCUUUCGGUUGUUAAUUCAAUUUAUGACCCUCUUGGGUUUCUGGUGCCACUCAUCCUACCAGUUAAGCUCCUUCUGAGAGAUAUGUGCAAACAAGGAUAUGGAUGGGAUGAAGAGAUUGAGGGUAAGCAAGCUGAUCAGUGGGUCAGAUGGCUAGAAGAUCUAAAUCACCUCUCAGACUUUCAGAUCAAAAGGUGUGUAAAACCAGAGAAGUUUGGCAACACAACAGAAGUGCAAUUGCAUCAUUUCUCUGAUGCCAGCGAGAGUGCGUAUGGCACAGCAACUUAUCUGGUGCUUAAAAAUGAACACAAUCAGAAACAUUGUUCCUUGUUAAUGGGAAAGUCAAGAGUUAGCCCACUCAAACAAAUCACAAUCCCUAGACUUGAGCUGACAGCGGCAACCAUAGCCGUCAAAGUAGACAAAAUACUAAGACAAGAGCUUCAAAUUCCACUACAGCAGUCGGUUUUCUGGACGGAUAGCACUACAGUGCUCAGCUACAUUGGCAAUGAGAGUGCACGCUUCAAAACAUUUGUAGCAAACAGGAUCUCACUCAUACGAGAUGCUACUACUUCAUUACAAUGGAGGUUUGUCAAGUCAGCACAAAAUCCUGCAGAUCAAGCUACUAGAGGUCUUAAAGCAAAGGACUUUGUGCAAGAAGAAAAAUGGUUUAAAGGGCCCAACUUUUUGUUGAAACCAGAGGAAGAAUGGCCACAAAGCCGAGAUCAAAUGACUCAAGGUGCACAACAAGACCCUGAAAUCAAAGCUGAAAUCAAAGUCAAUGUUCUUAACAUUAAAGAAGGCAAGGACAUUGUAAGCAAGCUAACUGAUUACUACUCAAGCUGGUUUCGUCUGAAAAAGGCAGUGGCAUGGAUGAUAAGACUAAAAGAAACACUUUUACAAUUAUGUAAAGUAAGAAGACAGUUCCAAGAGUCCAUUGCACAAUCAGAGAAAGACCCGGAAAAGCAAGCAUCCCUUCUACAGGAGCAAAUGCAGAAAUACAGAUCAACGAUGGAGAAAAAGUCAUUGAGCCUGGAAAACCUGAAUCAAGCAGAAAUUCAGCUCAUUCAAUUCAGUCAAAAACAACAAUUUCAGGAUGAAAUUGAGGCUCUGAAAAAGAAUAUUCCUGUUAAGAAAAGAAGUCAGCUGUUCAAGCUUGACCCUGUACUUCAGGAUGGGAUACUAAGAGUGGGAGGUAGGCUCAACAGAGCAGCCAUGCCAGAGGAAUCCAGACAUCCUGCAAUCCUCUCAAAAUGCUCUAAGAUUUCAACUCUCAUUCUAAAUGAUAUUCAUCAAAGAUGUGGACACUGUGGUCGAAACUACAUGCUAUCUACUCUCAGACAAAAAUUCUGGAUCCCCCAAGCCAACUCAGCAAUUCGAAAACUUAUCCAUAAAUGUGCAGUUUGUCGCAGACUUAAUGGAAGAGUUGGUGAGCAAAAAAUGGCAAGCUUGCCAGAAGACCGCUUGCUACCUAAUAAACCCCCUUUUACGAAUGUGGGCGUAGAUUACUUUGGACCCUUCGACAUAAAACGGGGCCGGAGUACUGUAAAAAGGUAUGGAGUGUUGUUCACCUGCCUAACAAUCAGAGCAGUACACAUUGAGAUAGCGGAUAGUUUGAACACUGAUUCAUGCAUAAAUGCUUUGAGGCGCUUUAUAAGUAGAAGAGGACAGGUGUCAGUCAUGCGGUCAGACAAUGGCACAAAUUUUGUUGGCGCAGAAAGAGAAUUGCGAGAGGCACUGAGGAACCUGGACCAUAACAAAAUUGAAAACACCAUGCUACAGAAAGGGAUUAAAUGGAUCUUCAACAGUCCAGCUGCUUCUCAUCAAGGUGGGGUUUGGGAGCAUCAGAUCCGUACUGAAAGAAAGAUACUCUGCGCUCUCUUAAAGGAACAGACUAUUAAUGAUGACAGUCUUCAUACCAUCAUGUGCGAGGUGGAAAGCAUCAUCAACAACAGACCAAUAACUAGUACCUCAGAAGACCCAAAUGACAUUGAGCCUCUGACGCCUAACCAUUUACUGUUGUUGAAAACUCAACCCAGCUUACCACCAGGUGUCUUUAAUAAGGAGGACCAAUAUGUGAGAAAACGUUGGAGGCAAGUCCAAUAUCUCGCUGAUUUGUUCUGGAGCAGAUGGACUCAUGAGUACUUGCCCAUUCUUCAGGAACGCAGUAAAUGGUCAAGAUUAAAAAGGAACUUUGAAACUGGCGAUGUGGUUCUAGUUGUGGACAGUUCUUCCCCCCGCAAUUCAUGGAUAAUGGGAAGAGUAAUUCAAACUAUACCAGACUCCAGUGGAACUGUACGCCGUGUAAAGUUAAAGACCAAAACAAAUGUACUGGAGAGACUUGUAAAUAAAUUGUGCUUAAUUCAAGAGGCAAUUUAAGCAUGAAUACUAACAAAGAACUAUCAAGAGUAAAGAUAACCAAAGACAAUGUGGAAGAACUAAGUAGCUAUUUCUUAUUCAUAAAUGUUCAAGUUUAAGGGCUCUUAGUAUUAAUGUCUAUAAUAAUUGUUUGGUCUCCUGCCCAACCAAUUAGGGGCCGGAUGUGUAAGAGCCAUAUGUUAUUCAUUUUAUUUGUUUUUAUAUAGAUGUUGAAUAAAUAAAUAAUUGUGUGUUAAGCAAUUGUAAAAUAAUUAUAAAAGUAAAUAAUUUAAUAUGUGUAUUAUAUUUAGUAUUGACAAUGAUGUCAUUUCCAGCAAGGACCGUUAGUGUUUUUUGUGAUGCAAUAUGGAAGUGAAACAGUUUUUUGACCGUGUAACAUUUUUCCAGUUAAUUUUGUUAUUAAACUUUACCUAAAGAAAGUUUCUGGACUACGGAAUGUUAUUCGAGUUCAAAUCACGCUUACACAUAAGAAGAAGAAGCAAGAAGAAUGAAAAUUUAAACGGAUUGCUAUCACACCAUCACUUCAACAGCUACAUUGGCUUCCUAUCAACUUUCGGAUUGAAUUUAAAAUUCUCCUCCUCACAUACAAAUCUCUUCAUAACCUUGCUCCACCUUACCUUUCAGACCUCUUACAUCCCUACACCCCUUCUCGAACUCUCCGUUCCUCUUCACUGGGUCUCCUUCAUGCACCUUCAG